UCUCACUUUGUCACCCAGGCUGCAGUACAGUGGCAUGACCUUGGCUCACUGCAACCGCCGCCCCAUGGGCUCAAGCAAUCCUCCCACCUCAGCCUCCUGAGCAGCUGGGACUACAGGUACACACCAUCCGCCCGGCUAUUCUUUGUCUUUCUAGGAGAGACACGGUUUCACCAUGUUGCCCAGGCUGGUCUCAAACUCCUGAGGCUCAAGCAAUCUGCCUUCCUUGGCCUCCCAAAGUGCCGGGAUUACAGGCAUGGGCCAGCACGCCCUGCAGCCUUAUCUACUUUCUUAAUUGUCUGUUGCAGUUUCAUGUAGGUUAAUCUCAUCUGUCUACCUACCCAAUGAGAGACAGGAACUAAAACUAUUAGAGCAUCUGUAUACUACUACAGACUUCAUAGGUAAUUUUAUACAAUACUGAAGGCCAAAGUAGGAUAUGUGAAGCAACGUCAGAGAUAGUUUAUUCGCUUAACCUAAUAGGGAACUUGGAUUGGAAUCCAGAUGACUUCAAAAUCC
Molecule: long non-coding RNA, 513 nt
Filed under: Homo sapiens (human)
Lineage: Eukaryota; Metazoa; Chordata; Mammalia; Primates; Hominidae
Description: non-protein coding lnc-SP9-8:1
Source: RNAcentral